RNAcentral lists this long non-coding RNA (1315 nucleotides) under Androctonus crassicauda. The record is from RNAcentral. Lineage: Eukaryota; Metazoa; Arthropoda; Arachnida; Scorpiones; Buthidae.
GUUUGAUGGGAAAUUGUGACAUUCCAAGUUGACUUUUUUUUUUAUCUGAAUUAAAAUUUGAAACUCUGACCACACUCAGCACCCUCUUGUCCCUAUCACUGGGGUUGUUUGACCCUUCAUCUCCUUUUUCCUUCUGCUUUGUGUUUGGGGUGCCCUUCACUUAGUUGCCUUACUAGCCGGCUGAUGGCAGGUGAGUGUGAGUGUUAGGGCAGGGGCUGUCUCAUGAAAGGGACAGUUGCACAUCAUCCUACAUCAGUGGAAUGACUCCUCUCCUGGAUCUGGGGACAGCAUAUACUUCUUCCCCAGCUCAGUCAUGGGUGAACGUCACCUCCUGAGAUGGUCACCUCAGAGAAGGAACACGGUUGGUUACUGAGGGAGCCAGGCUCUGCCAACAAACUGUAGGCCUUUUGUUGUGUAGUAUUUUUGUUUUUUAAAUAAAAGUAUAGUAUAAAUUUUCCUAUUAAAUAAGAUUAUUUUAAGUUUUACUGUCAAAAUUGCAAUGCCCAUUGUAGGUAAGGGUGUACUAUACAGAUUUGGAGAUGGUAAGGUGGUGACAUUUAACACAAUUACACUGUCUUUUUUCAGGUUAUGGGUAUAUAUCCUCUAUUAGUAUCAUAUCUUUUUCAUUCCACUUUAGGAAACACAGUUACCAGUUAUAAGUAGAGAGAGAGAGAGAGAGAAAGACAAGUUCUAGUCUGCCUCUACCCCACACAUACCACUUCUUUGUCCAGGGGUUUGACAGAAUAGCAGGCCCGGAAGACAGUUGAGGAGAUGGGUGUCAAGUUUCCUCUGGGUAGAUUUCAUUCCCCGGCAUCCUUCCCCUGUGCUGACAGGGAGCAGAAGGCGCAACGCUUUCCAUGGUGUGGGGCAGAAGGAGCCGAGGUCAGCAAGCCAGUGGUUCUUAAGAGGUAAACCUCUGACUUACUGUUGGAAGUUGUCUCUUUCAACCUCAGAGUCUCCUAAUAUGGCGCUCCUGAUCUACCCUGCUCAAUGCUCUCCCGUAUGUACACCCCAGCCUCUUUCCCAAGAAGUCUCUGGCCAUUCUCAGUCCCUGUGUGAUCAGCCUCCCUCCUACCCGGACAGACUUGAGGUGAGGCCUAAGUAUGAGGCACCUGAAGUUAACCUGUAGAUAAAACCAUUGGCAGAACCACGGCCCCAGGUGGCUGUUGAGGUCUUGGCGAGAAGUCCUGGGCAAGGAAGGUCUUUCGUAAAGUCACAUCAUUGGAGAGCCGUUUUUGCGCUUUCAAUAAGCUAUAGCUUUGUUUCUUUCUCCUGUUCACUUACUGUAUAAUUUAAAGUCAUUUAUGUAGCUGAG